RNAcentral lists this ribosomal RNA (242 nucleotides) under uncultured bacterium. RNAcentral describes it as "partial small subunit ribosomal RNA". It matches the Rfam family "Bacterial small subunit ribosomal RNA", at positions 26 to 285 of the family's 1533-position model. The record is from RNAcentral.
AGAAUCAACGCUGGCGGCGUGCCUAACACAUGCAAGUCGAACGAGAAAGUGGAGCAAUCCAUGAGUAAAGUGGCGACCGGGUGAGUAACACGUGACUAACCUACCUUCGAGUGGGGGAUAACAUCGGGAAACCGAUGCUAAUACCGCAUAACAUCGCAAGAUCAAAGCAGCAAUGCGCUGGAAGAGGGGGUCGCGGCUGAUUAGCUAGUUGGCGGGUAACGCCCACAAGGCGAAGAUCGGUA